CACAACAGAGAAACUUGAUUGUGGGUUAGGUUUCCAGGCAUGCAACUUAUUUUAACAAUUUCUAUUACCAUAAAAAGUAGCUCUUAGCAGUCACUUUCUGUUGGCUUUGUUUUUUGUUUGUUUGUUUGUGUUUUUGCAGUGUUGAAGCUUAACCUUAAGAUACGUACUAGAUCGAAAACAAAAUAUCACCACGAGGGAUGUAUCACUGGCUUACAGGAUGUGAUCUGGAUACCACCAACAACAGUUGCCUCACAAUGGAAAGCCUAAGGAUUCUGUAACUACAGUCCAUGAGACUGCAGUCUCCAUAGUCCCAGUCUGGUGCUGGAGGUCCGGAAGACUCCUGGAGAGCUGCUGGUUUUCAGUCUGUGUUGGAACCCUGAAGAAAUUGGAUUUAAUGCUGGCAGCAACAGAGUAGGCAAACUUGCCAGUGAGGAUGAGGGCAAGCAAACAAAAAAACAAUUUCUCUCUUCCCUGCCCUUUUCUGUGGGCUGCCACCAGCUGUAGAGGGGAUUAAGGAAAUCCUGCACUCCAGAUGGUGACGACAUUAGAAGAUGGAUGGGACUUGUUAGGAAAUGACUAAGUCAUGG
Molecule: long non-coding RNA, 587 nt
Filed under: Cricetulus griseus (Chinese hamster)
Lineage: Eukaryota; Metazoa; Chordata; Mammalia; Rodentia; Cricetidae
Description: lncRNA (ENSCGRG00015037018.1)
Source: RNAcentral